GACUGGUGAGAACUGGUUAAAAUCUUUUCAUUCUAAUGGAGCUGUGAAGUUCUCAAAGCUGAUGAAAAUGGUCGAGAAGAGCCACAUCGAAGAGUCAGAAAUCUACUGAGAAUUUCUGAUAAGCACAGCUAUGUCUGGGGAGGAGCUACAUGUAACAAACUCCUUGUUUAGUUAAGGGAUACAGAGAAUUUUCAUCAAAAUGCAGCGUUUCCAUUUAACUUCACCCUCUGAAGAGAACUGUUUUUCACUGAAAAAAUAAGUUAUAAAGGAAAUUAACUCUUAAUUAACGCUCUUAAACUCAACAUGAGGAAACUGAGGCCUGAAUCUGCAGCUACGUAGCUCUGCUUGCACAAACACUUCCAGUGCUUUCAACAAAGAUCUUCACACAGCAGAAUUGCUCACAUGGAUAAUUGCUCCUGAGAUCAGGCAAUCUGGGUUAGUUAGUGAAAUAAGGGCACUAAAUCAUUUUCUAAUCUAUAUUGUUCUUUUUUGACUGCCAAAGUGCUAGCUGUAUUUAUUUUUUAUAAUCCUGAUAAGGAAACAUUCCUAAAACAUUAGCAAAAAAAAUCCAGCUUGAGUGAGAGGACAAAGUGAAACAAACAUCUCUCAGCCUUCCUCUGCUGUGGCUGAUCUUUAAAUAGCAAACUUGAGCCUCUGUCAGAGCACGCUUUGGGUGGUUGUACGGCAAGUAGCUCCACGAGAUGGGAUUGGAAAAUCCUUCAAGGCCCUUCAUCAGCAGGCUCUGGCUCUUUGAGCUCUUCCCUGCUCCUGCCUUUGGAAGGAGUCGUGCCUGAGAACGUUUAAUCCGCGGCGACCCUGAGCGCUGUCCCUCGGGGAGCUCCCUCCUCUUGUUAUGGUGUGUUGGCCGUGUCAGAGAUACCAGGUUGCUUCAUUCUCAUCCACCACGGGGCAAAGAUCUUCCAAACACUCAGGAAGGCUCUGCAGGAAUACUGGGAUCGCAUCUUCCAGAGGAGUUUUGUUGGAUCCCUCAGUCCUUUUGCUUUAACUGAGCUGCAGUGCAUGGGAGGAGCUGCAAACACACAGUGACCGCAGGACCUCACUUCUUUGGGACACUUCAAUUUGCUCGUUGUUAUUUAGAAGAAACCUCACCCAGUCCACCUCGAUGCCCUUGGCUUUUCCUUCUCCUCAAAAAGCCCUUGAGAAAUUUGUCAUUCAAACCAUCACUGUUUGUUUCACUGCCCAGUUUUUACUCUGGAGCAAGGAACUCCCAAGGCUCAGGGUUUAAUAUCCAUCACUGGAACAUCAGAGCUCCUCCAGAAAUGCUGGGAAGACCCACAUCAGGAUAACUUGACAUGAAAAUGAAACAAUGACAGCUACUGAAUGACAGGACUAAUAUUUUGACCACUUAUUUUUGUUUUCUGCCUUUUAUCCAAGACAGGGGAAAAACUGAGCAGAACAGUGUGAAAACAAACAGCAAAACUCAUCCCUGCAGCCUCAGCCAACUUCUCCUGUGAUCUGGGAAAAAUACCCCAUUCCCCUGCAGGCUUCCCUCUCUAAUUUACUGCAGGGAAAAAAAAAAAAAAAUUAUUCAGGUACUGUUGGGUCAACAGAGGACUUAUAAAGUCGAUGAGAAUGACAAAUGUGACACCCUACCCCCGCUGAACUCCUCUGCAGGCAGCUGAAGCCAAUCCAUCAGCAGAUGCAGCAGCAUUUGUUUCUGAAACAUCUGCUCUGUAUCAAUAUGCAAAUCACACCAGGAGAUUCUGAUCUCAAAGCCUCAUGGUUUUUGUUGUUGUUGUUUCAAGGAACUGGAACCAGCCACUGCUCAGAGUACUUUUCUUUUGAUUUUUGACUAUUGCUGCAAUACUCCUGGAAUAUUCAAAUAUUAACUCGUCAGGGUUAUUCCAAGGAGAACUUUUAGUUGUUUUGUUUUGUUUUGUUUUGUUUUGUUUUGUUUUUUGUUUUGUUUUGUUUUGUUUUUUUGGGGAGUCAAAGUAUUUUCUUACCAGGGGGAUUUAAGCCUGGUGAAUUCUGAAUCAGACCUUAAUUGUAUCCCUUGUCAAUCACUUUUAAUCCGAGUGGCAGUUGGGGCAAGGAGACCUCACAUGUUUUGGCAAGUCAAUGGUAAAAUGACUUGGAAAACAGCAAGGCAAGCUGAUACUGUGAUUAAAUAGCCAACAAGGGACUCAGUUCCCAUUCUUUGAGGGAACUUUCUCCAAAAUGUGCCAGAUCUCCUUUCCAGAAGAUAAUAAAUACAUUUCUGAUGCAAUAAAAAUUAAGGCUUCCAUUUUAAAAUGGACUGGAAUCCUCGUCCUGCUCAUGACUGCAGAGUGCUCAGCUCUUCUGGGAACCAGAUCAUUUAUUUUACUGCUUAAAUGUGGAUUUGGAGGCUCCUCUUUGUCAUAUUCUUGACAUGGUGGUUGAAGUGAUAGAAUAAAGACAUCCCAUGAAGAAAGAAAGCAACCUAAAUGUAUUAAGUAAUUUUUAAAAUAUAUUAUCAGUGAGGACCUAAAUGUGGGUGGAUGAAUAUUGUACAACACAUGGGUUUUAAAGAGCUUUUUUUUUUUCAAUUUGAAGUGUUUCUCCCUGUC
Long non-coding RNA from Poecile atricapillus (Black-capped chickadee), 2552 nucleotides. RefSeq lists it as uncharacterized. Lineage: Eukaryota; Metazoa; Chordata; Aves; Passeriformes; Paridae. The record is from RefSeq and is a predicted model, not a curated record. The transcript has 3 exons.